This 301-nucleotide ribosomal RNA is filed under the name uncultured bacterium. Its description in RNAcentral is "partial 16S ribosomal RNA". It matches the Rfam family "Bacterial small subunit ribosomal RNA", at positions 509 to 807 of the family's 1533-position model. The record is from RNAcentral.
CAGCAGCCACGGUAAAACAGAGGGUGCAAGCGUUAAUCGGAUUUACUGGGCGUAAAGGGCGCGUAGGUGGUUAUUUAAGUGAGAUGUGAAAGCCCCGGGCUUAACCUGGGAACUGCAUCUUAUACUGGGUAACUGGAGUGCAGUAGAGGGUAGUGGAAUUUCCGGUGUAGCGGUGAAAUGCGUAGAUAUCGGAAGGAACACCAGUGGCGAAGGCGGCUACCUGGACUGAGACUGACACUGAGGCGCGAGAGCGUGGGGAGCAAACAGGAUUAGAUACCCGCGUAGUCCCUGUCUCUUAUAC